This 253-nucleotide ribosomal RNA is filed under the name uncultured bacterium. Its description in RNAcentral is "partial 16S ribosomal RNA". It matches the Rfam family "Bacterial small subunit ribosomal RNA", at positions 524 to 776 of the family's 1533-position model. The record is from RNAcentral.
UACAGGGGGGGCAAGCGUUGUUCGGAAUUACUGGGCGUAAAGGGCUCGUAGGCGGCCAACUAAGUCACACGUGAAAUCCCCGGGCUCAACCUGGGAACUGCAUCCGAAACUGCCUUGCUAGAGUAUGGGAGAGGGAAGUGGAAUUUCCGGUGUAGCGGUGAAAUGCGUAGAUAUCGGAAGGAACAUCAGUGGCGAAGGCGACUUCCUGGACCAAUACUGACGCUCAGGUGCGAAAGCGUGGGGAGCAAACAGG